GAUGAAGAACGCAGCGAAAUGCGAUACGUAAUGUGAAUUGCAAAUUCAGUGAAUCAUCGAAUCUUUGAACGCACAUUGCGCCCCUCGGCACUCCGGGGGGCAUGCCUGUCCGAGCGUCAUUGCACCCCUCGAGCCCCCCGUGGCUUGGUCGUGAGCCGCGCCCGCGCCAGCCCCGUCCCCCCCCGUGCAGCGGGGGGCAGGGGCGCCGGGCGGGCUCGAAACGCAGUGGCGGCCCCCGGGCGACUUCCAGCGCGAUGACAUGUUUCGCUGCCGAAGCCUUCGCCCCGGGCGCCCGCCAGGCAACCCCCGUGCUUCUUACGCGGUUGACCUCGGAUCAGGCAGGGAUACCCGCUGAACUUAAGCAUAUCAUAAGCGGAGGA
RNAcentral lists this unclassified non-coding RNA (380 nucleotides) under soil metagenome. RNAcentral describes it as "partial contains 5.8S ribosomal RNA, internal transcribed spacer 2, and large subunit ribosomal RNA". The stretch from base 1 to 119 matches the Rfam family "5.8S ribosomal RNA", at positions 35 to 154 of the family's 154-position model. The record is from RNAcentral.